This 483-nucleotide ribosomal RNA is filed under the name Neoancistrocrania sp. D1656. RNAcentral's name for it is "partial 16S ribosomal RNA". It matches the Rfam family "Bacterial large subunit ribosomal RNA", at positions 1858 to 2572 of the family's 2925-position model. The record is from RNAcentral. Lineage: Eukaryota; Metazoa; Brachiopoda; Craniata; Craniida; Craniidae.
CCUGCCCGGUGAGACGGCAGUUAAACGGCGGCGUUAGCGUGAUUGUCCAAAGGUAGCAAAUAAUSUGCCUUUUAACUGAUGGCUGGUAUGAAAGGUUAGACGUGGGAGUAGCUGUCUUCCAGGCACGUAUGGAACUUAUCUUGUAGGUGAACAGACCUUUUUUUGACUUCGGGACGGGUAGACCCCGAUGAACUUGAUAGCGGUGUGCGAUUUUUCGCGGAGGUUUUAUAAUUUACUCCGCGCUUUGUUGUGCCUUCUUCGGUUGGGAAAACCGGGGGAAUGAUGAAAUUCUGCUUGUUGUUUUGUUUGGGGAUAACUAUGGUGACCUUUGGGUGAGGGAAUUGGUGUAUGAUACUGYUGGAAAAAKAAAAGUUACCGCGGGGAUAACAGCACUGUCUCCUCGGAGAGAAUACAUUGCAGAGGGGGUUUGUGACCUCGAUUUUGGAUCAUUUGAUUCUGGGCGGUAAAGAGGCUGCUUGGAGG